RNAcentral lists this ribosomal RNA (495 nucleotides) under uncultured bacterium. RNAcentral describes it as "partial 16S ribosomal RNA". It matches the Rfam family "Bacterial small subunit ribosomal RNA", at positions 28 to 507 of the family's 1533-position model. The record is from RNAcentral.
GACGAACGCUGGCGGCGUGCCUAAUACAUGCAAGUAGAACGCUGAAGGAGGAGCUUGCUUCUCUGGAUGAGUUGCGAACGGGUGAGUAACGCGUAGGUAACCUGCCUGGUAGCGGGGGAUAACUAUUGGAAACGAUAGCUAAUACCGCAUAAUAGUAGAUGUUGCAUGACAUUUGCUUAAAAGGUGCAAUUGCAUCACUACCAGAUGGACCUGCGUUGUAUUAGCUAGUUGGUGGGGUAUCGGCUCACCAAGGCGACGAUACAUAGCCGACCGGAGAGGGGGGUCAGCCACCCUGGGAGUGUGACACGCCCCAGACGGCUAGAGGAAGCAGCAGUAGUGAAUCGUGGGCAAUGGGCGGAAGUCUGAGCGAGAAGGGCCGCGGGAGUGAAGAGGGAUUUCGGGUCGUGGAGGUCGGUUGUAGGGGUAGAAAGAGUGUGAGAGUGGAAAGUUCACUGUGUGACGGUAACUUACAAGGAAGCGACGGCUAACUACGUG